AAGGGAACGAGGACUGUAGAAUCCCAACCAUUGUGUACCUACCACUGUUGCUUCGGCGGCCUCGCCCCGGGCGCGUUCGCGCGGCCCGGACCCAGGCGUCCGCCGGAGGCUCCAAACUCUUGUCUUUUAGUGUAUUUCUGAGUGGCAUAAGCAAAUAAAUCAAAACUUUCAGCAACGGAUCUCUUGGUUCUGGCAUCGAUGAAGAACGCAGCAAAAUGCGAUAAGUAAUGUGAAUUGCAGAAUUCAGUGAAUCAUCGAAUCUUUGAACGCACAUUGCGCCCGCCAGUAUUCUGGCGGGCAUGCCUGUCUGAGCGUCAUUUCAACCCUCAGGACCCGUUCGCGGGACCUGGCGUUGGGGAUCAGCCUGCCCCUGGCGGCGGCUGGCCCUGAAAUCCAGUGGCGGUUCCCUCGCGAACUCCUCCGUGCAGUAAUUAAACCUCUCGCGGCAGGAUAGCGGUUGAACCACGCCGUUAAACCCCCCACUUCUCAAGGUUGACCUCAGAUCAGGUAGGAAUACCCGCUGAACUUAAGCAUAUCAUAGCCGGGAAGGAAAAUCAAAAGU
Molecule: small RNA, 562 nt
Filed under: Acremonium alternatum
Lineage: Eukaryota; Fungi; Ascomycota; Sordariomycetes; Hypocreales; Bionectriaceae
Description: eukaryotic LSU rRNA
Rfam family: 5.8S ribosomal RNA (bases 164-317)
Source: RNAcentral